Molecule: ribosomal RNA, 253 nt
Filed under: uncultured bacterium
Lineage: Bacteria
Description: partial 16S ribosomal RNA
Rfam family: Bacterial small subunit ribosomal RNA
Source: RNAcentral
UACGUAGGGGGCAAGCGUUGUCCGGAUUUAUUGGGCGUAAAGAGCUCGUAGGCGGUUCCGUAAGUCGGAUGUGAAAAAUCUGGGCUCAACCCAGUGGAGCACCCGAUACUGCGGUGACUCGAGUCCGGUAGGGGAGUGUGGAAUUCCUGGUGUAGCGGUGAAAUGCGCAGAUAUCAGGAGGAACACCGACGGCGAAGGCAGCACUCUGGGCCGGUACUGACGCUGAGGAGCGAAAGCGUGGGGAGCGAACAGG